RNAcentral lists this unclassified non-coding RNA (394 nucleotides) under Hevea brasiliensis (rubber tree). The record is from RNAcentral. Lineage: Eukaryota; Viridiplantae; Streptophyta; Magnoliopsida; Malpighiales; Euphorbiaceae.
UAUAUGUUGGUCAAGAAGUGUUUGGCCGGUAAAUUCAAUUUUGCAAAUAUGACACCAUACAGGCUUCAUCUUAAUUUUCCUUUGGCCUCCUCCCCAAGACCCACUUCUCAGAGGUUGGAUAAAAAAGUUGGGAUUUAUAUUUGCAGGAGUCAAAUUCUCUGCACCAUUUAGGGACACUGCAGUUAUCUCACCAGUCCUGAAAGGGCCAUUUGAUCCCAAAAGUCGCACCACAUUCGGGUCCUGAUAAUACACUUGCGUUGCUUCCACAGAGCUAGUAGCACCAUUGAUCUGUCCAUACCGAUAGACCAUACUUUGUCCUUGGAAUUCGUGUCCUCCACCAUAACCAAGUGCAUAUGAACUAGGGUUAGGGUUUUGAGGCACAGAUUGAUCGGAA